GAAUAUAUGAACAUAUGCAUGUGUCGUGGAGCGUGAGGUUUUUUUCGUUACGGAAUUUCUGGAUUCGGUCUCCGCGCUCAAGGCCCGCGAUAGAAGCUAUGCAAUAGCUUAAAAAUUAAAAAUAUCAGUUUUUCAUCACAUGUCAGUCUUUUACAUUUAGCGCUCCUUUUGCAUAGCUCACUAACUUCCACAUGAUUAUUGAUAAAUGACAUGUCAUUUACUUAUGUGUUUCCAAAUAAAAAAUUUCAAUACCGCAAAAGGUACCAUUAUAAAGUGUUGUUAAAUAUGCACAACACUUUAAAAUUUUAAGUGGUAAUGUUUUCGAGUGUAUAAUAGGUACCAAAAAAGCCAUUGCAGCAGACGAAAUAUCCGUUUUGUUUGAGAUGCUAAGUUUGUUAGAAAUAUUUCAUGAAGCAACAGAAAUGGUUUCUGGAAAUAAUUAAGUACGUGAAAAUAAUUUUAAUGUUUCAUUAACAUCAUCGGAAGCCACAAUUUUGUGCCCAGAUUUGCUUUGUGGAAUAACAAAAGUAUUAUCUACAUUUGAAUCGAGAACACCAUCGCGGAUGGGUACAUUACUCGACCCACGUUUCAAAAAAUAAGGUUUCGAAUCUGAGACUAAUACACAAAAGUCUGUUAGUUGCUUAAAGCAGGAAGUGCCAUCUUUACGUGAGAAAGCAAUUCACGGCGCAGACUACACCAGUUCAUCUUUGCUUGAUGUCAUAGACAUGCGCGUGACGGAAAAAGUAAAAAACUCACGUUCAGAUAAAGUAAUAAUGCUGAGGCAAUAUUAUGAAAGACAUUAAGACCAGUGAAGAUCCACUUCUUUUUUUGAAGUUUGCAGGCGAUGAAUUAAAUGCAAUAAAAGAUUGUAUGCCUAAAUACUUGUGUAAUGCAAAAACAUCUAUGAAAUCAGAGCGCAUUUUUAGCAAGUGUGGAAUGCUGAUGACAGACCGGCAAACUCGCUUAAAAUCAGAAAAUGUUAAUAUGCUAAUUUUCUGUUAUGGAAACUUUGGAUUAUUCAAAAAUAAAUAAUAAUUAUUAUCAUAACAAUA
Bactrocera tryoni is the source of this 1052-nucleotide long non-coding RNA. RefSeq lists it as uncharacterized. The transcript is spliced from 3 exons. The record is from RefSeq and is a predicted model, not a curated record. NCBI's taxonomy places the organism in Eukaryota, Metazoa, Arthropoda, Insecta, Diptera, Tephritidae.